RNAcentral lists this long non-coding RNA (457 nucleotides) under Solanum tuberosum (potato). Its description in RNAcentral is "long non-coding RNA (STUB_LNC005310)". Lineage: Eukaryota; Viridiplantae; Streptophyta; Magnoliopsida; Solanales; Solanaceae. The record is from RNAcentral.
GGGGGGUGGAUAAAUGUUGGAUCUUGGUGAAUUUUGAGGGGUUUUUGAAGUGUUGGAAGGUUAAAAAUUGGAUCUUGGUGAAUUUUGAGGGGUUGUAGUUUAUGGUUAUGUUUUUUGUGAUUGUAUAAGUUUGAUUUGUGGGGGGGAGGUUAAAAAUUGGAUCUUGGUGAAUUUUGAGGGGUUUUAAAGUAUUAGAUUUGGGGUUUUUCUAGGGUUUAUGAUGACCAAAUUUGGGAAAUUUAGUAAUGUGAUUUGGUAAUUGUUAUGGAUCUCUUAUGCUGAAUUGUGUUUGGUUUAUGCCUUUAUUUUGUUUUAGUUUGUUGUGGGGAAGGUUAAAAAUUGGAUCUUGGUGAAUUUUGAGGGGUCUUAAAGUAUUCUGUGUGUAUUCAUAUUCUCUGUGUGAAAGUUUUGAAUUUUGAUAGAUCUGUAUAGUUUUUAUGUGAAAUCAAGUGUGGUG